Carassius auratus (goldfish) is the source of this 2724-nucleotide RNA transcript. It is a transcript of the gene named erythropoietin receptor-like, with no coding region annotated. The record is from RefSeq and is a predicted model, not a curated record. The transcript is spliced from 10 exons. NCBI's taxonomy places the organism in Eukaryota, Metazoa, Chordata, Actinopteri, Cypriniformes, Cyprinidae.
GAAAUAACGGUACAGUGCUGCAAUAGUGAUAAAGGACAGUGAACUGCAGGCUGACUGGAUCGAGUCGCAAUGCUUGCUCUUAUCUGUGCGUAAGAGGAGCUCAGUGCUGUGCUGAUAACGCAGGUUUAGUAUAAAAAACAAGAGUGUCAGGCCGUGAUAAAAAGAACCGGUUACUGUGUGCCGAACAACACCAGUGCAGUUUGCACACUAAAAAAACACCUACAACUGAGCACCUGUUGAAUGCACUUCACAUAAUGAACAUGCAUAGUUGAUAAAAGUGUUUUAGACCCAUUAAACAUCAUAUUAUUUCCUACUCGAGCCUAAAAGUCAGGCUGCAUGUAAGGAUGUAUGUUAAAAGCCUGAGUGCCUCAAACAGUCAUGAAUGUCUUCACUCAGGCUCCUCCCAGUAAACAACUCUUUUUGGCGCUCCACCUCCAAAUAGUAAAAGAGUAAACACACUGUGAAUCAGCUUAUCGGAUGAGAUGCACGUAAAUGUCCAUGGUGUCCGCUAAAAAUUGUUUUGGUCGAAAAAACCACCUGGAAAGGAGGAUAGACCUUUAGGGACUGUUACGCAGAACAGUGAUGCAUUUGUAAUGUAAAUGGAUGGCAAAAAUGAGGAGUGACAGAUUGAAAAUAGUUUUUGUGUUGUGUCUUGCUUUCGUCUCUAUAGGUGGACAACAUUUUGAAAGUAAAGUGGCCCAGUUACUGCGAGACGAAUCAGAAGAUAUUAAAUGUUUUGUGGAGGUGAAGGAUCUCACUUGCUUUUGGGAAGAGGAGAGGAAUAGUUUACCUGAUCAGUAUACCUUCACAUAUUCAUACGAGAAUAAGAUCAAGGAUUGUGUGGUUUCAUCUCUGUCUUUACUGGCCAGUAACAAAACCGUCUUCUUCUGCAAACUGCCCAAAACCCCUUUCUUCACGACGCUUGAUGUGAAAGUUUCUCGUGAUCGCCGGAUGCUCUACAGUCGAAGCCUUAACGCUGAGAAUUUCAUGUUUCUAGAUCCUCCCAGAAACCUCACAGUCUUGAGUUCAGGGAAGGAAGGGCAGUUGAACGUGAGCUGGCUGCCUCCUCUACUCAAGUACAUGGAUGACAGUAUGAUAUAUGAGGUCAGAUAUGCAGAGGAGGGAAGUAACAUGGGCAAGGUGGAGGUCAUAAAGGUCAGCACGAUGCUGGUUUUGCUUGGCUUACAGUCGGACACCAGAUACAAGGUGUGGGUCCGUGUCAAACCUGAUGGUGUUGCCUACAAAGGCUACUGGAGUGCUUGGACCGAGCCUGUGCUUGGAGUCACACAGCCCAGCGAGCUGGAUCCACUGAUCAUGCUACUGGUGCUUUUCAUCGGACUGAUCCUCUGCCUGCUGUCUAUGACUGUGAUUCUGUCCCACCAAAAAUUUCUUCUUAAGAAACUCUGGCCUGACAUCCCGACACCAGAGCGAAAGUUUCCAGGUCUUUUUACCGUCUACAAAGGGGAUUUUAAGGAGUGGAUGAGCCAGAAUAAUAGCAGCAUGUGGGGCAGAUCAGUCCAUGUGUUCACAGAGGAGCUUCCUUCACCGCUGGAGGUCUUGUCCGAGGUUUCCCUGUCCAGCCACGGGACGUCUCAGAGAGAGGAGAGGAAACCUGUGGAGGAGGACGAGGAGAAGGAGAGCGAGCGUUCGGACUCGGGGUUACCGGACAGAUGGCGGGAACCUCCUCAAGCUCACUGGCUCAUGGAGCAACUGAGGACGCUUCAAGAAAACCCCCAACCUCUGUCCCAGUCACUGUUACCGCAGUCACAUGACACUUACGUCACUCUCAAUCAAAACUCCCAAGGAGACGGCGUUCGAGAGGUGGACGAUGUCUUUGAGGAGACGUUACCGCUGCAGACGCUCUUCACCACCGCAGGAACGCCGUCCUUGAACACCUCACACUCAGACCUCGGCUCCCUCCAGCAGAGCUCGGGUUCGGGCAGACUGUCGUCACAAUCCAGCUUUGAGUAUCCCAACCACACGUGGCCCCCCAAAGGGCCGGGAUACGCCUACAUGGCGGUCGCAGACUCGGGGGUCUCCAUGGACUACAGCCCCAUGAGCUCCAGCAGGAUCGUGGAGCUCGGGAGACACAGGAUGUACACAAAUGAUUACAAAAACGAGAUUUUUCUCCAUAAGUGGCCGCUCUCCGGUGAACACACUAAAUCCGGAUCAGACUUCUGCAUGGGUCCCAUUUGGUAAACCCGCCAUACUUGGGGAUAGUCUUACCAAAAGUAAGAAGGUGUCUGCCACCAGUUUGCAGACUGUGGUGAGCUGGUAUCAAGGUCACGGUCAGUUUUGCCAGCAUGAGCCCGAGCUGCAGGCGGUGAAGCCCACUUGUGGGUCUGUCUACAUCUGCACUGUGGCAGUGUGUGGCCGGUCAUUGGUUUGUGCAGUACCUGCCCUGGCCUGCAGGAGGCGAGUCCGAGUCAGACCUGGAGGAUGGAACUAUGGAGAAAGAUGAAGAGGACAGGCCUCCAGAGAAAAAAAUCUGCUGUCAGUGAGAGUAUCAACACCAAAAAUCUGGCUGAGAAGCAGUUAUUGGAUCCCAGUGAUGAAAUGUACAGUUCGAGAGAGCUUCAGCAAUCUCUCAGUAGAUCAGUCAGUGUGGACCUAGAGUUCUCCCCACAUGAAACAGAAGUGACAGCAAAGGCAUCUAUAAUGUUGCAAGAGAUUUCGGUUUCAGAUAAAUGCUGUUCAUAAACUUUCAUAUUCAUCAAAGAAUCC